Molecule: long non-coding RNA, 101 nt
Organism: Alosa sapidissima (American shad)
Lineage: Eukaryota; Metazoa; Chordata; Actinopteri; Clupeiformes; Clupeidae
Exons: 3
Source: RefSeq, a predicted model, not a curated record
GGAUUUGAUUAUGGGGCAUGUUUCAACCAAUAUAGGAAAAAAUGCCUCUGCAUGCAAUUGGAUAGACCUAACCAAUCAGAGCAAUGAAAUACAGUAUAUGA